This is a long non-coding RNA of Microplitis demolitor, 801 nucleotides long. RefSeq lists it as uncharacterized. The record is from RefSeq and is a predicted model, not a curated record. NCBI's taxonomy places the organism in Eukaryota, Metazoa, Arthropoda, Insecta, Hymenoptera, Braconidae. The transcript is spliced from 3 exons.
GCUUUCUUAUCAUCAUCCAACGGUUGUACUAUUCUAAUUUUUUUGAAGUGUGGAACGCUUUACGUAAAAUUUGUCUUGUAAUAUUCUAUGUGAAACGCUGGUACAGAUUGAUCAGAAACGAUGAAAUCGAAUUAAUGUUGAAUUGAAUUUUAAAUAUGUUUUACGACAAUAUGAAAUGAUUUUAUUAAUAUUAUGCCAAAAAAAAAUUUUUAUGGAUUUAUUUUUAUAUAGUAUAAAAACUAUGCAAAUUAAUUAGUAGUAGAACGAGCAGAAGAAUUUAAAGUUUGUCCCACGUGUCAUAUGCUGUGAAUAAGCAUGUAGUCCGCCUGCGCAAGAUUUAAAUUAUGAUAAAAAACGCUCAUAUUUCUAUGAAUGGGGUGCUAAAGUUCAAAUUUUUUAGUAAUAAAAUUUUGAAAAUUUUUUUAUAAAAAAACUGUAAGUGACCUAACAAAAAAAUUAUGUGGCCUAAACUGACCUCACGGUGACCUAUCAUUUAAGGCCAUUGUCAUCUUAAAAUACUAUGAAUGGGGUGCUAAAUUUGCGCAGGUCACUAUUGCAUUGUUGUUUUGCAUUGUUUAUGUAAUAACAACGCCUCAUCAUUUUUUUGUAGAUUGUUUAAUGGAAAUACAGAACAAAACGACAGAAUACUCUUAAAAAUGUUCAAAAAGAUUGUAAGAAAUAAGUUAGAGAAUAGAAAUAAGCUAAAUAAACCUUAUAUAAAUUUAUCUGGUAGAGGACAAAUAUAUAAUCAAAAAUGUACUAGCUAAUGUAUAAUUUUAGAAACCUAAUUUUAUAAGUAUG